GACGAACGCUGGCGGGGUGCCUAAUACAUGCAAGUAGAACGCUGAAGGAGGAGCUUGCUUCUCUGGAUGAGUUGCGAACGGGUGAGUAACGCGUAGGUAACCUGCCUGGUAGCGGGGGAUAACUAUUGGAAACGAUAGCUAAUACCGCAUAAUAGUAGAUGUCGCAUGACAUUUGCUUAAAAGGUGCAAUUGCAUCACUACCAGAUGGACCUGCGUUGUAUUAGCUAGUUGGUGAGGUAACGGCUCACCAAGGCAACGAUACAUAGCCGACCUGAGAGGGUGAUCGGCCACACUGGGACUGAGACACGGCCCAGACUCCUACGGGAGGCAGCAGUAGGGAAUCUUCGGCAAUGGACGGAAGUCUGACCGAGCAACGCCGCGUGAGUGAAGAAGGUUUUCGGAUCGUAAAGCUCUGUUGUAAGAGAAGAACGAGUGUGAGAGUGGAAAGUUCACACUGUGACGGUAUCUUACCAGAAAGGGACGGCUAACUACGUG
Molecule: ribosomal RNA, 495 nt
Filed under: uncultured bacterium
Lineage: Bacteria
Description: partial 16S ribosomal RNA
Rfam family: Bacterial small subunit ribosomal RNA
Source: RNAcentral